Molecule: transfer RNA, 69 nt
Filed under: Eubacterium ventriosum
Lineage: Bacteria; Bacillati; Bacillota; Clostridia; Eubacteriales; Eubacteriaceae
Description: tRNA-Arg
Rfam family: tRNA
About the family: Transfer RNA (tRNA) molecules are approximately 80 nucleotides in length.
Source: RNAcentral
GUGCGUGUAGCUCAGUUGGAUAGAGCGUCUGGCUACGGACCAGAAGGUCGUGGGUUCGAAUCCUGUCAC